RNAcentral lists this ribosomal RNA (468 nucleotides) under uncultured bacterium. Its description in RNAcentral is "partial 16S ribosomal RNA". It matches the Rfam family "Bacterial small subunit ribosomal RNA", at positions 28 to 507 of the family's 1533-position model. The record is from RNAcentral.
GACGAACGCUGGCGGCGUGCUUAACACAUGCAAGUCGAACGGAAAGGCCCUGCUUUUGUGGCGUGCGCGAGUGGCGCACGGGUGAGUAACACGUGAGUAGCCUGCCCUUGACUUUGGGAUAACUUCAGGAAACUGGGGCUAAUACCGGAUAGGAGCUCCUGCUGCAUGGUGUGGGUUGGUAAGUUUCGCCGGUUGGUGAUGGACUCGCGGUUUAGCAGCUUGUUGGUGGGGUAGUGGAUUACCAAGGCAUUGACGGGUAGCCGGCUUGAGAGGGUGACCGGCCACAUUGGGACUGAGAAACGGCCCAGACGCCUACGGGAGGAAGCAGUGGGGAAUAGUGCACAAUGGGCGGAAGCCGGAUGCAGCAACGCCGCGUGCGGGAUGACGGCCGUCGGGUUGUAACCCGCUUUCGCCUGUGACGAAGCGUGAGUGACGGUAAUGGGUAAAGAAGCACCGGCUAACUACGUG